This 64-nucleotide transfer RNA is filed under the name Acanthotermes acanthothorax. RNAcentral describes it as "tRNA-Ala". The record is from RNAcentral. Lineage: Eukaryota; Metazoa; Arthropoda; Insecta; Blattodea; Termitidae. RNAcentral also lists the same sequence under 1 other name.
GGGACUAUAGUUAAUAAUAACAUUUGAGUUGCAUUCAAAAAGUACUACCAAGUAGUUAGCCUCA